CCGCUCCCGAGUAUAAAACCUCACCUCAUCCUCCGAACCGAAAAAAAACCCCACUACCCAACCGCCGCUCUCCGAGGCUCCUGAAAGUUGCAACCUCUCCCUCUCGGCGAAUUUGGGGGUUUCUGAANNNNNNNAGGUAAACCAAGGUUUUGCUCAUGGCUCGUACUAAGCAGACCGCCCGUAAGUCCACUGGAGGAAAGGCUCCCAGGAAGCAGCUAGCCACCAAGGCUGCCCGUAAGUCUGCUCCCACCACUGGAGGAGUGAAGAAGCCUCACCGUUACCGCCCUGGAACUGUUGCUCUUCGUGAGAUCCGCAAGUACCAAAAGAGCACGGAGCUGCUCAUCAGGAAGCUUCCAUUCCAGAGGCUUGUUAGGGAGAUUGCCCAGGACUUCAAGACUGACCUCCGCUUCCAGAGCCAUGCGGUGCUGGCCCUUCAGGAGGCUGCAGAGGCCUACCUGGUCGGUCUCUUCGAGGACACCAACCUGUGCGCCAUCCAUGCCAAGCGGGUGACCAUCAUGCCCAAGGACAUUCAGCUGGCUAGGAGGAUCCGUGGCGAGAGGGCUUAAGGUGCUGUGCUUGCCUUGCCUGUGGGAAUCGCUCUGGUGGGCAUCUGUGUCUGCUUUUGCUGCUGAACACUUAUCAUGUGUCGUGAACUACUAAUACUGGUCGUGUGUAGUAAUGUCAGUAGCGUACUCUGUGCCAUACUAUGUUCGUAGAGCUGGAUCAUUUGUUCGUUGGUCGUCUUAAAUCAUCCACCUGGUGGGUGCUUAUCUGAACCUUGCAUUUUAUGUCUGAAAAUUAGUGAUUGUGUGAACUAUUAU
This 821-nucleotide ribosomal RNA is filed under the name Triticum aestivum (bread wheat). RNAcentral describes it as "partial small subunit ribosomal RNA". The record is from RNAcentral. Lineage: Eukaryota; Viridiplantae; Streptophyta; Magnoliopsida; Poales; Poaceae.